GAGCGUCAUUUCAACCAUCAAGCCCCCGGGCUUGCGAUGGGGCCAUGCGGCUGCCGCAUCCCCCGAAAUUCAGUGGCGGGCUCGCCUUCACUCCGAGCGCAGUAACGCAUCUCGCUCUGGACGUGUAGCGGGCUCCUGCCGUAAAACACCCCAAUUUUAAGGUUGACCUCGGAUCAGGUAGGAAUACCCGCUGAACUUAA
Molecule: unclassified non-coding RNA, 200 nt
Filed under: soil metagenome
Description: partial contains internal transcribed spacer 2 and large subunit ribosomal RNA
Source: RNAcentral